This 64-nucleotide transfer RNA is filed under the name Quadrula quadrula (mapleleaf mussel). Its description in RNAcentral is "tRNA-Val". The record is from RNAcentral. Lineage: Eukaryota; Metazoa; Mollusca; Bivalvia; Unionida; Unionidae.
CAAAAAGUAGUAUAUGUAUAUAUUACAACUCGCUUACACCGAGUUAAAGGAUACCCCCUUUUUG